AAGGUUCGCAGGCUAAGAUCACGACCUCCUGUCGUAACGCCUGCACUUGCACGUCCUGUG
This 60-nucleotide small RNA is filed under the name Gracilibacillus phocaeensis. Its description in RNAcentral is "Bacillaceae-1 RNA". It matches the Rfam family "Bacillaceae-1 RNA". The record is from RNAcentral. Lineage: Bacteria; Bacillati; Bacillota; Bacilli; Caryophanales; Bacillaceae.